RNAcentral lists this ribosomal RNA (490 nucleotides) under Escherichia coli. Its description in RNAcentral is "bacterial SSU rRNA". It matches the Rfam family "Bacterial small subunit ribosomal RNA", at positions 1 to 480 of the family's 1533-position model. The record is from RNAcentral. Lineage: Bacteria; Pseudomonadati; Pseudomonadota; Gammaproteobacteria; Enterobacterales; Enterobacteriaceae.
AAAUUGAAGAGUUUGAUCAUGGCUCAGAUUGAACGCUGGCGGCAGGCCUAACACAUGCAAGUCGAACGGUAACAGAAAGCAGCUUGCUGCUUUGCUGACGAGUGGCGGACGGGUGAGUAAUGUCUGGGAAACUGCCUGAUGGAGGGGGAUAACUACUGGAAACGGUAGCUAAUACCGCAUAACGUCGCAAGACCAAAGAGGGGGACCUUAGGGCCUCUUGCCAUCGGAUGUGCCCAGAUGGGAUUAGCUAGUAGGUGGGGUAACGGCUCACCUAGGCGACGAUCCCUAGCUGGUCUGAGAGGAUGACCAGCCACACUGGAACUGAGACACGGUCCAGACUCCUACGGGAGGCAGCAGUGGGGAAUAUUGCACAAUGGGCGCAAGCCUGAUGCAGCCAUGCCGCGUGUAUGAAGAAGGCCUUCGGGUUGUAAAGUACUUUCAGCGGGGAGGAAGGGAGUAAAGUUAAUACCUUUGCUCAUUGACGUUACCC